CUUAACACAUGCAAGUCGACCGGUAACGAUGUAGCUUGCUACAGGCGACGACCGGCGCACGGGUGCGUAACGCGUAUGCAACUUUCCUUAUACAGGAGGAUAGCCCAGGGAAACUUGGAUUAAUACUCCAUAAUGUCACCAGGUCGCAUGGCCAGGUGAUUAAAACUCCGGUGGUAUAAGAUGGGCAUGCGUAGGAUUAGCUAGUAGAUAGUGUAACGGACUACCCAGGCAACGAUCCUUAGGGGUUCUGAGAGGAUUAUCCCCCACACUGGUACUGAGACACGGACCAGACUCCUACGGGAGGCAGCAGUGAGGAAUAUUGGUCAAUGGGCGCGAGCCUGAACCAGCCAUCCCGCGUGCAGGAUGACGGCCCUAUGGGUUGUAAACUGCUUUUCUACGCCAAGAAAGGCCCGUACGCGUACGGGAUUGACGGUAGCGUAGGAAUAAGCAUCGGCUAACUCCGUGCCAGCAGCCGCGGUAAUACGGAGGAUGCAAGCGUUAUCCGGAUUCAUUGGGUUUAAAGGGUGCGCAGGCGGGCUUGUAAGUCAGUGGUGAAAUACUGCCGCUUAACGGUAGAAUUGCCAUUGAUACUGCGAGUCUUGAAGUAUGGUUGAAGGUAGGCGGAAUGUGCAGUGUAGCGGUGAAAUGCAUAGAGAUUGCACAGAACGCCGAUUGCGGAGGCAGCUUACCUAAGCCAUAACUGACGCUGAGGCACGAAAGCCGUGGGGAGCGAACAGGAUUAGAAUACCAGGUAGUCCACGGCUGUAAACGA
Molecule: ribosomal RNA, 772 nt
Filed under: uncultured organism
Description: bacterial SSU rRNA
Rfam family: Bacterial small subunit ribosomal RNA
Source: RNAcentral